CGGGAUAUAGCGCAGUUAGGUAGCGCGCCUGCUUUGGGAGCAGGAUGCCGCAGGUUCAAAUCCUGCUAUCCCGA
RNAcentral lists this transfer RNA (74 nucleotides) under Pleonosporium borreri. Its description in RNAcentral is "tRNA-Pro". It matches the Rfam family "tRNA". Rfam says of the family: Transfer RNA (tRNA) molecules are approximately 80 nucleotides in length. Their secondary structure includes four short double-helical elements and three loops (D, anti-codon, and T loops). Lineage: Eukaryota; Rhodophyta; Florideophyceae; Ceramiales; Ceramiaceae. The record is from RNAcentral.